Molecule: ribosomal RNA, 493 nt
Filed under: Escherichia coli
Lineage: Bacteria; Pseudomonadati; Pseudomonadota; Gammaproteobacteria; Enterobacterales; Enterobacteriaceae
Description: partial 23S ribosomal RNA
Rfam family: Bacterial large subunit ribosomal RNA
Source: RNAcentral
UGGGAGGCUUUGAAGUGUGGACGCCAGUCUGCAUGGAGCCGGCCUUGAAAUACCACCCUUUAAUGUUUGAUGUUCUAACGUUGACCCGUGAUCCGGGUUGCGGACAGUGUCUGGUGGGUAGUUUGACUGGGGCGGUCUCCUCCUAAAGAGUAACGGAGGAGCACGAAGGUUGGCUAAUCCUGGUCGGACAUCAGGAGGUUAGUGCAAUGGCAUAAGCCAGCUUGACUGCGAGCGUGACGGCGCGAGCAGGUGCGAAAGCAGGUCAUAGUGAUCCGGUGGUUCUGAAUGGAAGGGCCAUCGCUCAACGGAUAAAAGGUACUCCGGGGAUAACAGGCUGAUACCGCCCAAGAGUUCAUAUCGACGGCGGUGUUUGGCACCUCGAUGUCGGCUCAUCACAUCCUGGGGCUGAAGUAGGUCCCAAGGGUAUGGCUGUUCGCCAUUUAAAGUGGUACGCGAGCUGGGUUUAGAACGUCGUGAGACAGUUCGGUCCCUA